GACGAACGCUGGCGGCGUGCCUAAUACAUGCAAGUAGAACGCUGAAGAGAGGAGCUUGCUCUUCUUGGAUGAGUUGCGAACGGGUGAGUAACGCGUAGGUAACCUGCCUUGUAGCGGGGGAUAACUAUUGGAAACGAUAGCUAAUACCGCAUAACAAUGGAUGACACAUGUCAUUUAUUUGAAAGGGGCAAUUGCUCCACUACAAGAUGGACCUGCGUUGUAUUAGCUAGUAGGUGAGGUAAUGGCUCACCUAGGCGACGAUACAUAGCCGACCUGAGAGGGUGAUCGGCCACACUGGGACUGAGACACGGCCCAGACUCCUACGGGAGGCAGCAGUAGGGAAACUUCGGCAAUGGGGGCAACCCUGACCGAGCAACGCCGCGUGAGUGAAGAAGGUUUUCGGAUCGUAAAGAUCUGUUGUAAGUCAAGAACGGGUGUGAGAGUGGAAAGUUCACACUGUGACGGUAGCUUACCAGAAAGGGACGGCUAACUACGUG
RNAcentral lists this ribosomal RNA (497 nucleotides) under uncultured bacterium. RNAcentral's name for it is "partial 16S ribosomal RNA". It matches the Rfam family "Bacterial small subunit ribosomal RNA", at positions 28 to 507 of the family's 1533-position model. The record is from RNAcentral.